GCCUGACUUGGGAUCAACAAACAGAACCUGCUGCAGAGGGCCUAGGCCUGGGAGCUGUCAGAUGUUGGCUGAGGGACUCAGCAAGAGUCUGUGUGAAGGACAGCCCAGUUGCAAUUCUUCUGUCCUGCCUGUCACACCUCCUCUGCAGUGCUGCCGCUUCUCUGCAUGUCUGAACAUGCAGCUAUCAGGAUCCUAAGAAGCCACGUCAUCCCAUUCUUGGAGCCGUCUCCAAAUAUAUAUUUCAUGACAUUUGGGGGACACAGGUGGGAGAGUGUACAUGCAUUCACUGGGGAAGUUUUUCCUAAAAUCUUCCUUUUUUUUGAAGGCAGCCUUCUUCUGAAAUGAAAGCCUACUUCUUAAAGUCUUUGCCUUGCCCCAGCUUUUCAUUGUCACUUCCCUAAUGUUUCAAGCCCUUCUGGGUCUCUGAGGCUUCUCUCCCACUUUCUCCUUCCUAGAACGUGCUUCACCAAGCUUGGCCCAUCAGCCGUCAGCUCAUACCUGCAGAGAUGGUCAGAUUCAUGCUUAAGAACAGCAUGUUGUUUUCACUUCCAAUGCCGCAGAGGUAGCAUCCGAUGUCAUCCGGGGACAGUUGGGACAGCCUCACCACAAACAAGCCUCUCUGUGGAAAGUCUGUGAGGGCCACACGGUCACGAUAGCGAUGAUGAGGAAACUAAGAGACCGAGAUGGAAAUAAUUUGUCCAAGAUAUCAGAGAUAAGCAGGUGGUGGAACCGGAGUGUGAAUACAGUCAGUCUCAAUCUAGGAAAUAUGCUCUUAACAAUCAGGUGACAUAUGUAUGUGGAGAGAGUCAUUCAACCCAAAGGUCCUACAAGCAAUGGUGGUAGGUGAAAGAGCAUAAAACCUGUACCCAGCUGAAGAGUGAAAAAUCAGCUCAGAAUGAAGAUAUAAAGAGCAGCCCUGCUGUUAAUCAAGCUGGAAGGACAGACACAGAUAAAGCCAGCUGCAACAUUAACAGAAAACAUUGUUUCUCCUAAAGUCACGCA
RNAcentral lists this long non-coding RNA (1002 nucleotides) under Homo sapiens (human). Its description in RNAcentral is "HSALNT0020715". Lineage: Eukaryota; Metazoa; Chordata; Mammalia; Primates; Hominidae. The record is from RNAcentral.